Molecule: small RNA, 125 nt
Filed under: Marmota monax (woodchuck)
Lineage: Eukaryota; Metazoa; Chordata; Mammalia; Rodentia; Sciuridae
Source: RNAcentral
GCUGGGCAUGGUGGCGCAUGCCUGUAAUCCCAGCAGCUUGGGAGGUUGAAGCAGGAGACUCAUGAGUUCAAAGCCAGCGUCAACAAAAGUGAGGCACUAAGCAACUCAGUGAGACCCUGUCUCUA